This 77-nucleotide transfer RNA is filed under the name Hyphomicrobiales bacterium. Its description in RNAcentral is "tRNA-Arg". It matches the Rfam family "tRNA". Rfam says of the family: Transfer RNA (tRNA) molecules are approximately 80 nucleotides in length. RNAcentral also lists the same sequence under 16 other names. The record is from RNAcentral. Lineage: Bacteria; Pseudomonadati; Pseudomonadota; Alphaproteobacteria; Hyphomicrobiales.
GCGCCCGUAGCUCAGCUGGAUAGAGCGUUGCCCUCCGAAGGCAGAGGUCACAGGUUCGAAUCCUGUCGGGCGCGCCA